GUCCUUUUGAAGACGUCCCAUAAAAUUGGAAUGAUACAAAAAAAAUUAACACAACCCUUGCGCAAAGAUGACCUGCACAAAAUCAAGAAAUGAUUCAAAUUUUU
Molecule: small nuclear RNA, 104 nt
Filed under: Theobroma cacao (cacao)
Lineage: Eukaryota; Viridiplantae; Streptophyta; Magnoliopsida; Malvales; Malvaceae
Source: RNAcentral